RNAcentral lists this long non-coding RNA (220 nucleotides) under Mytilus galloprovincialis (Mediterranean mussel). Lineage: Eukaryota; Metazoa; Mollusca; Bivalvia; Mytilida; Mytilidae. The record is from RNAcentral.
GAAAUUAAUAACUAUAGGUCACCGAACGGCCUUCAACAACGAGCAAAGCCCAUACCGAAUACUCAGCUUUUAAAGGGCCCAAAAUGACGAUGUAAAACAAUUCAAACGAGAAAACUAGCGGACAUAUUUAUGUACAAAAAAUGAACGAAAAACAAAUAUGUAACACAUAAACAGAGACAUAUAAUACUUUUAUAUGUCUCUGACAUAAACAAACGACAAC